This 347-nucleotide unclassified non-coding RNA is filed under the name soil metagenome. RNAcentral's name for it is "partial contains 5.8S ribosomal RNA, internal transcribed spacer 2, and large subunit ribosomal RNA". The stretch from base 1 to 120 matches the Rfam family "5.8S ribosomal RNA", at positions 35 to 154 of the family's 154-position model. The record is from RNAcentral.
GAUGAAGAACGCAGCGAAAUGCGAUAAGUAAUGUGAAUUGCAGAAUUCAGUGAAUCAUCGAGUCUUUGAACGCACAUUGCGCCCCCUGGUAUUCCGGGGGGCAUGCCUGUCCGAGCGUCAUUGCUGCCCUCAAGCACGGCUUGUGUGUUGGGCCCCGCCCCCCGGCUCCCGGGGGGCGGGCCCGAAAGGCAGCGGCGGCACCGCGUCCGGUCCUCGAGCGUAUGGGGCUUCGUCACCCGCUCCGUAGGCCCGGCCGGCGCCCGCCGGCGACCCCCCUCAAUCUUUUCAGGUUGACCUCGGAUCAGGUAGGGAUACCCGCUGAACUUAAGCAUAUCAUAAGCGGAGGA